GCCAGGUGUGGUGGCACACACCUGUAAUCCCAGAGGCUCGGGAUGCUGAGGCACGAGGCUCACAAGUUCAAGGCCAACCUCAGCAACUUAUCGAGGCCCUAAGCAACUUAGAGAGAACUUGUCUCAA
This 127-nucleotide small RNA is filed under the name Marmota monax (woodchuck). Lineage: Eukaryota; Metazoa; Chordata; Mammalia; Rodentia; Sciuridae. The record is from RNAcentral.